AUCAAACACUUGCUUUGCAUAUCCAAAAUUCUCCACAUUUUCCAUACGCACAUAUUACUAGAUACAAAUGAAAACAUGAAAAUUAGGUUAACUGUAAUGAAAUUGUAUAUGAAAAUUAGGAAUCUUGAAGAAAUACAAUGUUGACCACAUUCCCACAGGACCAAAAAAAUGAUGAAAUUGUAUGUGAGACAACCAUAUAACCAUGCUAGGAGCCAAUCAGAUGGGCUGGCAACAUUCAUCUACUCAGCCAUGGCUAAACCAUGAAGAAGGCAAAAUAUGUAACCUCUCAGGCAUUUCAUCAAACAGUUGGCCUGCAUCUCUAAAUUGGACGCCUAUCCAUAUGACCUUGCAGAGGAAUCAUGGAGAGAGUAACCUCUUAGGCAGCCUCCACCGGAGCAAAAAAAGAUGAGAUUGUCUGUCAGACAACCAUGUAGCCAUGCCAGGACCAUUAGAUGGUUUGGCAUCGAUCAUCUACUGAGCCAUGGCCGAGACCAUGAAGUUUUGUUAAUCACGCUCUGGUUACAUGGUCGUGGUUCAUCAACCAGACAUGGGUUUCUGUCUUCUUAGGAAUCAAGAAUACAGAGGUACGAGCCUAUAGAACAGAUCCUGUUCAAGUAAGGUCGUGCUUCUUCUUCUCUCUCGAUUCCUUAUAUAGCUGCUCUGAUUUUUAAUCUGCAACAAUGUGGGAGGAAGUCAUGAAACAAAUCGGAUCUGAGCGGCUAAGCCCACGUACGCCUCUUUCCUCUUGGGUUUAUUAACACUAAUUUCUUCAAUAUAUUUCAUAUUUGUUUAUUGUAUCAAAAGAGGUUAGAAAAAUGGAAAAUGCAAUAUCUUUCAAUCUAAUAAAAGAAUCUUUUCAUUCUACGUGUCUUCUCCUUCACUCAUUUCACACUAAAAUUAAAUUACCAAAUUACCCAUUACUACUCUGUUGACCCUUAAAUAUUUUGUCGAUCCCUUAAACUCUAAUCUUCUUUUUCAUCUGUAUCAAUGGUUGCUUUGUAGGAACCUUCGAUUCGUCGCCUGCUCCGCCACCGGGCAUUCUCGAAUCUAAUGAAGACGGGUUUAAUAGUAAUGAAAACUUAUAGCAGGGCUUCUGGAAUUUUAUAAUGUUCGAUGGUUUUGAUUUUGCUAAAAGGUUCGUAACAUUUUUCUCUCAGUAUACUACAUAUUUAAUUGUAUGAUUCCAUAAAAUUCAUCUCCGUCUAUGGAUUUUGUGAUUUUGAUAGUCCAAUCGUGUCCCCCCCUUUUUUUUAAUCCACGUGAUUUGAUAAUUGAAUUUGCUUUCUUUUGUUGACGAAAUUUCCAGUUGUAGUUUUAUCAUCAUGUUGAAUUAUUGAUCAGUUGAUAUAUAUGAUUGAUAACUUAGGGCUUAAACUGGGUACAUACACAUGGCUUGAUGAUUUAAUGGUAUAAGGUAAAGCGUUGGUGGAUUACUUUAGGGAUUCGCUAUUCCGCCGUUUUUCUUUUUUGUAUUAUAACCUUUUUGAAGUAUUAAUGUUGUUUAUUAUGGGAUAACUUUUAUAAGUGCAUUUUCUAAGAAGUAGUGCAUACGAUUGUUUUUUAAAAUUAAAUUACUUGUGAGAACUACUUUUGUGCUUUCUUUCUGUAACAUCCGGAUUCUCAUGUAUCUUAUUUUAAUUAUUUAUUUUGAGUUUUAUGGAGGGACUCGGCGAGUAGACGCUCAGACUUGCCGAGUAGGAUUACGAAUUCUUGUCUGGAUUAAUGACCAGACUCGACGAGUCGAUGAGUGGACUCGGCGAGUCUGCGCUGUAAAGUGAAACCCUAAAUCUUAGGGCUUGAGCCCUAUUUAAAGGCCCUUAUGGCCGUCAUUUGCGGCCACUACUCCCCUGUGAAAACCCUAGAGAGCAUAUAGAGCAAUUUGGAGGCUAAUUCUUCAUCCUUUGGUGGGAUCUUGCAAGAAGGAGUGGGAAAAUCCAAGCUAGAUCGAAUGUGGAGCUUGGAUCUGUGGUGUUCACACUGAGAUUCACGUUUUGAGGUACAAGUUCCUUCCCAUUCCGUGUAUUUGAUAGAUUCCUUGAAUCUAGGGUUUCCUUUGCACAAUUUUGAGUUAGAUUGUGAAGCAUAUGAGGUCCCUUUGGGCAUAGAUGAUAGAUCUGGACCUUAGGAGGUCCAAAAGGUCCCAAGCUUCCAGCUUUAUGAGGUUUCAUGUUAGGCUUGAGAGUAGAACCCCAUUUUAAAGGUUAUUUCUCCAUUUUUGGUCUUAUAAGCAAUGCAUGAACAUAAAGUUUGAACUUUUACGUGACUUUCGAGUGUUACAAGGUUAGAUCUACUGGUUGGUGAAGCAAAUCUGACCUCAAAAGAUCGUUUGAGUGUUUUCAUGGGAGGAACUCGCCGAGUCCAAAAGGGACUCGACGUGUCGAGUCGGGUCGCCCCGCGAUUCACGACAUGUGAUAACCCGUUGAGUGUAGGGUUGAAUCAGCGAGUCAAGUGAGGACCAGGGGCGAAGAGGACAUGCAUGGACUCGCCGAGUCACACGAGUGCACUCGACGAGUCUGGUCAAAGUUUGACCGUUGACUUUUGUUGACUUUUAGGGUUUGGUCAACAAUUGGACUUGUGGACCAUUUGAAGGUGUCUUUUGAUCUUUUGGGGUUUUUAAAAGGUAAAAAGCUAAAAGGUCCUUCAAACACAUUUUAAAAGCAUCUUUUUGCAAAAGAUGCAAGUCAAUAAGGUCUUUUAUGAAAAUGACUUUUGAAGAAAAAAAGUUUAGCCAAACACACAGUUAAUAGUCGAUUUGACAUAUUUGGGGUUGCAACAAUGGAUCUCUUGUGAAUUCCAGCAUUUAUUGUAGACUUUAAUGAAUAUGAAUAGUUUUUGUUGAAUGUUAAAAUCUCAGUUUAACCAUCAUAAAACAUUCAUUAUGUCAAAUAAUUUUUUUUUAAAAAAAAAUUACCAUCUUUCCUUGAUAUUGCUAUAUUGCAACCUCUCGUGUACUUGUAUAUGUUUUUUAAUUAGUGCUUUUUAUGUAUUUGUCAUCCUUUUGCAGCUUCCCAAACAACUCCAAUAUUCACAUUCUUGAGAAUCCAAAGGUCUAAACAAUCAUAAAUAUCAGCAACAUACAGAGCAUCCUUUCUAAGAAAAAAGGUUUUAGACAACAAGACAGUAGAAGAAAUUAAUUUCUUUUCAGACAUUUCAUCAAACACUUGCUUUGCAUAUCCAAAAUUCUCCACAUUUUCCAUUCGCACAUAUUACCAGAUACAAAUGAAAACAUGGAAAAUUAUGUUAACUAUAAUGAGGAAUCUUGAAGAAAUACAAUGUUGACCACAUUCCCACAGGACCAAAAAAAUGAUGAAAUUGUAUGUGAGACAACCAUAUAACCAUGCUAGGAGCCAAUCAGAUGGGCUGGCAACAUUUAUCUACUGAGCCAUGGCUAAACCAUGAAGAAGGCAAAAUAUGUAACCUCUCAGGCAUUUCAUCAAACAGUUGGCCUGCAUCUGUAAAUUGGACGCCUAUCCAUAUGACCUUGCAGAGGAAUCAUGGAGAGAGUAACCUCUUAGGCAGCCUCCACCGGAGCAAAAAAAGAUGAGAUUGUCUGUCAGACAACCA
RNAcentral lists this long non-coding RNA (3564 nucleotides) under Lactuca sativa (garden lettuce). RNAcentral describes it as "long non-coding RNA (LSAT_LNC005979)". Lineage: Eukaryota; Viridiplantae; Streptophyta; Magnoliopsida; Asterales; Asteraceae. The record is from RNAcentral.